GAUGAAGAACGUAGCGAAAUGAGAUAAGUAGUGUGAAUUGCAGAAUUCAGUGAAUCAUCGAAUCUUUGAACGCACAUUGCGCCCCUUGGUAUCCCGAGGGGCAUGCCUGUUCGAGCGUCAUUUCACCACUCAAGCCUGGCUUGGUGUUGGGCGACGUCCUCUUUGGGGACGCGCCUCGAAACGCUCGGCGGCGUGGCACCGGCUUUAAGCGUAGCAGAAUCUUUUGCUUUGGAAGUCGGGGCCCCGUCUGCCGGAAGACCUGCUCGCAAGGUUGACCUCGGAUCAGGCAGGGAUACCCGCUGAACUUAAGCAUCUCAAUAAGCGGAGGA
Molecule: unclassified non-coding RNA, 329 nt
Filed under: soil metagenome
Description: partial contains 5.8S ribosomal RNA, internal transcribed spacer 2, and large subunit ribosomal RNA
Rfam family: 5.8S ribosomal RNA (bases 1-120)
Source: RNAcentral